This 522-nucleotide ribosomal RNA is filed under the name uncultured bacterium. RNAcentral's name for it is "bacterial SSU rRNA". It matches the Rfam family "Bacterial small subunit ribosomal RNA", at positions 777 to 1297 of the family's 1533-position model. The record is from RNAcentral.
AAUAGAUACCCGGGUAGUCCACGCCGUAAACGAUGAGUGCUAAGUGUUAGAGGGUUUCCGCCCUUUAGUGCUGCAGCUAACGCAUUAAGCACUCCGCCUGGGGAGUACGGUCGCAAGACUGAAACUCAAAGGAAUUGACGGGGGCCCGCACAAGCGGUGGAGCAUGUGGUUUAAUUCGAAGCAACGCGAAGAACCUUACCAGGUCUUGACAUCCUCUGACAACUCUAGAGAUAGAGCGUUCCCCUUCGGGGGACAGAGUGACAGGUGGUGCAUGGUUGUCGUCAGCUCGUGUCGUGAGAUGUUGGGUUAAGUCCCGCAACGAGCGCAACCCUUGAUCUUAGUCGCCAGCAUUAAGUUGGGCACUCUAAGGUGACUGCCGGUGACAAACCGGAGGAAGGUGGGGAUGACGUCAAAUCAUCAUGCCCCUUAUGACCUGGGCUACACACGUGCUACAAUGGAUGGUACAAAGGGCUGCAAGACCGCGAGGUCAAGCCAAUCCCAUAAAACCAUUCUCAGUUCGGA